CUGCAAGUUCGUUAUGACAUUUAGUUUCAAUUUCUUUUAUGAAAUAAUGAAAAUUGGUUCACUACUUAUGUCAGUGAUGAAUUCUUUAUGUGUUCUCUAUGGAUGCAUACGUAGUAAACAUUGAUGAGUCCAUAUUAUACCAUAUAUUUUACCCUAUUCUUAGUUAGUUUAUUGGUUAUUUUGGUAGAAUUUUGAUACUUUGUUAUAUAUUUUCAAUGUAUGAUAUUCGACUUCCUUUGGAGUAAAAAGCAAUCAAACGGAUGAAUUUUAGAGUGAUUGCAAUUGGAGGAUGUUUGUAAGUCUUUCAAAAUGAUUGUAUCAAAAUUUCAGAUUUUUCUACCAAGCCGUUUAACCGUGGUGAUGAAAUUAAGGCCCAGUGUGCAGCUUUCCCAGAUUGAUGUUUUUGGACAUUUUGGGCAUUUUGGAGGUCAAGAUGGCAUAUUUUGAUAGGAGGAUAUUUAUGCGACUUUAUUAUCUUAUUUCUUUGCAUUUACUUAGUUAAUUUCCAUUUAUUUUGGUGAUUUAUGUUAUUUUCGUAUUAUUGUAGGUCCGAUUGGGAAAGAUGACAAUAAAUGGCAAAAUGGAGCAAUUUGGAGCAGUUUUGGACUUGGAUUGGACAUCAAGCUUGGAUAGCAUAUGGGCUAACGUUUUUGGUGUUUAAAUGGUGCUAGAUAUGUGCCAAAAUCUGGAGGAAUUAAAGUUGAGGCUUGGAAGAUAAGGAAUUAGACAAGAAAGAGCAACCUUAUCCAAUCUUAUCUUAUCCAACCUUAACUUAUCCUAUCUUAUCCAAUCUUACCUUAUCUUAUCUCCAGCCGCAAAGAGGAAUCCUUAUCACAUUCUAACAUUUCCUAUCUGAUUCUAGGAGUCCUAAAAUAAUUCAAAUGAUCUAAUCUUUUUACUCCUAGGGUUAGUCGUGCCUUUGCCCUAUAAAAACAAAUUGUGCUGCAAAUAUUAAGGGGGGAGAAAAGAGUGCCGCAACCUGCAUCCAGUGAUGAGUGUACCUCCAAUCAUCCAUUGAAGUAACUGGAGUUUUCUAGGUUCUUUCUAUCUUUAUUUUGAGUUUUCUGGGUUUUUUCUAUCUUUAUUUUAAGUUUCAAUGUUUAUUUUAGAUUGUUUUUUAGUUAUGAUGAACAUGUGUAACUAAGUUUCUUUUUAGCUAGAGGUAAAUUGGAAGUCAUGAUCAUAUGUUUUAUAUAAAUUGAUUACAUCCAGUUAUUGUUUCAUAAAACAUGAAUGCGAUUUACUUAUCUGCUUUAUAGAAAACUUAUUCUUGUAUGUUUAUUAAGGGUGCACACUUAGUUUGCAUGCAGGGAUUUGAUGCUAGAAUAUA
This 1330-nucleotide long non-coding RNA is filed under the name Malus domestica (apple). RNAcentral's name for it is "long non-coding RNA (MDOM_LNC014926)". Lineage: Eukaryota; Viridiplantae; Streptophyta; Magnoliopsida; Rosales; Rosaceae. The record is from RNAcentral.